Molecule: ribosomal RNA, 492 nt
Filed under: uncultured bacterium
Lineage: Bacteria
Description: partial 16S ribosomal RNA
Rfam family: Bacterial small subunit ribosomal RNA
Source: RNAcentral
AGUGAACGCUGGCGGUAGGCCUAACACAUGCAAGUCGAACGGCAGCACAGUAAGAGCUUGCUCUUACGGGUGGCGAGUGGCGGACGGGUGAGGAAUACAUCGGAAUCUACUUUUUCGUGGGGGAUCACGUAGGGAAACUUACGCUAAUACCGCAUACGACCUACGGGUGAAAGCAGGGGAUCUUCGGACCUUUCGCGAUUGAAUGAGCCGAUGUCGGAUUAGCUAGUUGGCGGGGUAAAGGCCCACCAAGGCGACGAUCCGUAGCUGGUCUGAGAGGAUGAUCAGCCACACUGGAACUGGGACACGGACCAGACGCCUACGGGAGGCAGCAGUGGGGAAUAUGGGACAAUGGGCGCAAGCCUGAUCCAGCCAUACCGCGUGGGUGAAGAAGGCCUUCGGGUUGUAAAGCCCUUUUGUUGGGAAAGAAAAGCAGCAGGUUAAUACCCCGCUGUUCUGACGGUACCCAAAGAAUAAGCACCGGCUAACUUCGUG